This 289-nucleotide unclassified non-coding RNA is filed under the name Hevea brasiliensis (rubber tree). Lineage: Eukaryota; Viridiplantae; Streptophyta; Magnoliopsida; Malpighiales; Euphorbiaceae. The record is from RNAcentral.
AUUGGAAUAAUGGAGACAUUUUCAGCAUUAACAGAUUGCAACAAUGUUUCAAUGAUGUUAUCUCUAUGUUUCAAUGAUGUUAUCUCUAGCUUGUUGGCUCCCAAUGACAUGAGAAGCAUCUACAAAGGAGUGGUUCAUCUCCCUCCCCCUGUGAAUGACAUGCCUAUCAAAAAUCCGCUCGGUGAGACCAAAAUCAGAUUUAAGAGCAACGAUUUCAGCUACCCUCUCUCCAAUCUACUUUAGUUUAUGUGCCAUUCUAAAGCGCAAUGCAAGUGGAUUAGAGCUAGAA